This 253-nucleotide ribosomal RNA is filed under the name uncultured bacterium. RNAcentral's name for it is "partial 16S ribosomal RNA". It matches the Rfam family "Bacterial small subunit ribosomal RNA", at positions 524 to 776 of the family's 1533-position model. The record is from RNAcentral.
GACGUAGGAUGCAAGCGUUGUCCGGAUUUAUUGGGCGUAAAGAGUUCGUAGGUGGUUUGUUAAGUCUGAUGUUAAAGACCGGGGCUCAACCUCGGAAGUGCAUUGGAUACUGGCAGACUCGAGUAUGGUAGAGGCGAGUGGAAUUCCCAGUGUAGCGGUGAAAUGCGUAGAUAUUGGGAAGAACACCGGUGGCGAAGGCGGGUCUCUGGGCCGUUACUGACGCUGAGGAGCGAAAGCGUGGGGAGCGAACAGG